GAUGAACGCUGGCGGCGUGCCUAAUACAUGCAAGUCGAGCGAACAGACGAGGAGCUUGCUCCUCUGACGUUAGCGGCGGACGGGUGAGUAACACGUGGAUAACCUACCUAUAAGACUGGGAUAACUUCGGGAAACCGGAGCUAAUACCGGAUAAUAUAUUGAACCGCAUGGUUCAAUAGUGAAAGACGGUUUUGCUGUCACUUAUAGAUGGAUCCGCGCCGCAUUAGCUAGUUGGUAAGGUAACGGCUUACCAAGGCGACGAUGCGUAGCCGACCUGAGAGGGUGAUCGGCCACACUGGAACUGAGACACGGUCCAGACUCCUACGGGAGGCAGCAGUAGGGAAUCUUCCGCAAUGGGCGAAAGCCUGACGGAGCAACGCCGCGUGAGUGAUGAAGGUCUUCGGAUCGUAAAACUCUGUUAUUAGGGAAGAACAAAUGUGUAAGUAACUAUGCACGUCAUGACGGUACCUAAUCAGAAAGCCACGGCUAACUACGUG
RNAcentral lists this ribosomal RNA (497 nucleotides) under uncultured bacterium. RNAcentral's name for it is "partial 16S ribosomal RNA". It matches the Rfam family "Bacterial small subunit ribosomal RNA", at positions 28 to 507 of the family's 1533-position model. The record is from RNAcentral.